GACGAACGCUGGCGGCGUGCUUAACACAUGCAAGUCGAACGGAAAGGCCCUGCUUUUGUGGGGUGAUCGAGUGGCGAACGGGUGAGUAACACGUGAGUAUCCUGCUCUUGACUUUGGGAUAACUUCAGGAAACUGGGGCUAAUACCGGAUAGGAGCUCCUGCUGCAUGGUGGGGGUUGGAAAGUUUCGGCGUUUGGGGAUGGACUCGCGGCUUAUCAGCUUGUUGGUGGGGUAGUGGUUUACCAAGGCUUUGACGGGUAGCCGGCCUGAGAGGGUGACCGGCCACAAUGGGACUGAGAGACGGCGCAGACUCGUACGUUAGGCAGCAGUGGGGAAUAUUGCACAAUGGUCGGGAGCCUGAUGCGGCGACGCCGCGUUCGUGAUGACGGCCUGCUGGUUGUGAACCGCUUUCGCCUGUUACGAAGCGUUAGUGACGGUAAUGGGUAAAGAAGCACCGGCUAACUACGUG
Molecule: ribosomal RNA, 468 nt
Filed under: uncultured bacterium
Lineage: Bacteria
Description: partial 16S ribosomal RNA
Rfam family: Bacterial small subunit ribosomal RNA
Source: RNAcentral